RNAcentral lists this ribosomal RNA (790 nucleotides) under uncultured bacterium. Its description in RNAcentral is "SSU rRNA". It matches the Rfam family "Bacterial small subunit ribosomal RNA", at positions 70 to 853 of the family's 1533-position model. The record is from RNAcentral.
ACAGAGGAGCUUGCUCCUUGGGUGACGAGUGGCGGACGGGUGAGUAAUGUCUGGGAAACUGCCUGAUGGAGGGGGAUAACUACUGGAAACGGUAGCUAAUACCGCAUAACGUCGCAAGACCAAAGAGGGGGACCUUCGGGCCUCUUGCCAUCAGAUGUGCCCAGAUGGGAUUAGCUAGUAGGUGGGGUAACGGCUCACCUAGGCGACGAUCCCUAGCUGGUCUGAGAGGAUGACCAGCCACACUGGAACUGAGACACGGUCCAGACUCCUACGGGAGGCAGCAGUGGGGAAUAUUGCACAAUGGGCGCAAGCCUGAUGCAGCCAUGCCGCGUGUAUGAAGAAGGCCUUCGGGUUGUAAAGUACUUUCAGCGGGGAGGAAGGUGUUGUGGUUAAUAACCGCAGCAAUUGACGUUACCCGCAGAAGAAGCACCGGCUAACUCCGUGCCAGCAGCCGCGGUAAUACGGAGGGUGCAAGCGUUAAUCGGAAUUACUGGGCGUAAAGCGCACGCAGGCGGUCUGUCAAGUCGGAUGUGAAAUCCCCGGGCUCAACCUGGGAACUGCAUUCGAAACUGGCAGGCUGGAGUCUCGUAGAGGGAGGUAGAAUUCCAGGUGUAGCGGUGAAAUGCGUAGAGAUCUGGAGGAAUACCGGUGGCGAAGGCGGCCCCCUGGACGAAGACUGACGCUCAGGUGCGAAAGUGUGGGGAGCAAACAGGAUUAGAUACCCUGGUAGUCCACGCCGUAAACGAUGUCGACUUGGAGGUUGUGCCCUUGAGGCGUGGCUUCCGGAGCU